Molecule: ribosomal RNA, 440 nt
Filed under: uncultured bacterium
Lineage: Bacteria
Description: partial 16S ribosomal RNA
Rfam family: Bacterial small subunit ribosomal RNA
Source: RNAcentral
CCUACGGGAGGCAGCAGUGGGGAAUAUUGCACAAUGGGGGAAACCCUGAUGCAGCGACGCCGCGUGAGUGAAGAAGUAAUUCGUUACGUAAAGCUCUAUCAGCAGGGAAGAAAAUGACGGUACCUGAGUAAGAAGCCCCGGCUAACUACGUGCCAGCAGCCGCGGUAAUACGUAGGGGGCCAGCGUUAUCCGGAUUUACUGGGGGUAAAGGGAGCGUAGACGGUGCACCAAGUCCGGAGUGAAAUGCCGGAGCUUAACUGCGGAACUGCCUUGGAAACUGGCAAACUUGAGUGCGGGAGGGGUAGGCGGAAUGCCUGGUGUAGCGGUGAAAUGCGUAGAUAUCAGGAGGAACACCGGUGGCGAAGGCGGCUUACUGGACCGCAACUGACGUUGAGGCUCGAAAGCGUGGGGAGCGAACAGGAUUAGAUACCCGGGUAGUC